GUUUUUCAAGCCCCUGUAGUUGUUAUAGAAAGUAGUUUAGUGCCAGAAAAGGAAAAUUGGUUUAUCUGAUUUAGCUCUCUAUGAGAAGGAAUUCUCCUGAUUGUGAAUAGUUUAAUAUUCGGAUGACCGAGUUUGUGGAAUUCUAUUGAAUUAGAAUCCCAUGGCUGGCCAUCCGAAGAAUAUGUGUUCUUGGACUGUAUGUUCCUUGACUUAUACAUGCUGGUAGGCAUCCAGUGUAGUUACUAACACCCAUCGAGAAUAAAAUUUGUCAGGGGUCAUUUUAGGUAUCAUUCUCUUAACCAAGCUUGAGCUCUGUAAGCUUCAUAACCCUCUUCGCAACUUUAUAUUGUGAGUCAUGACAGUCGAUGCCUAGAUCAUAUGGAACUGAGCAUAUUCAUCUUUAGCUAGUUUGUUUUGUUUUGUUUUUUUGGCUACAGAACGACUUUAUUGGUUCAUUUCUUGAUCAAUCAUCUUCUCCAAUGCUUGACAUAUUGUAGUGAAGAAACGGGUAAGCAUGUCGCGGUUAACAAGUGCCGAUGUGUUUGUUGCAGUUCAUGCAACUAAAUUUUUCAUUGUUAAUGAGAGGCCUCAAGAUAUGAUUGGGAUGCUUGAUGUGGGUAAGCGUGGAAGGUACCAUCAGACAAACUCGGUGAUAUUUGAUAUUUGGUAUUGUUUGAUUUGAUGCUAACAAAAUUUCAAAUUCACCCGCUUUGUAUGAUGUUUCCUUUCAGACUUCUUGUUAACUGAGAAAAUUUUACUAUGGAAGCUAUUUUAUAACUGAUCGUCUCUGCAACAUGAAUGUGAGGAAAAGUCUUUGCUGAAUGCUAUUGUGUGGCUUGAAAGCAAUCUGUAGGGAAAGCACAAAAUUCAUGGCAUUUUCAGAAAUAAAUUGAAUGAUGCUUGGAGAUUUAAUUCAUGUGCCAACAUAAGAGCUUCAACCUAUCAUAUAUGAUCUCCAUAGCCCUUUUCUCAAUGGGGAUUGGAUCUCAUUGGAAAGAUUCAUCUGACAUUAGCAAAUGAACAUAAAUUCAUCAUAACUGCCUCAAAAUACUUCACCAAAUGGAUUGAGGCUAUACCUAUGACCUAUAUUACUGGCACUCAGAUUUCCAAGUUCAUCUUGAACUAUAUCAUAUGUUGGUACAGGGACCCCUUUUGCUAUAGUCACAGGUAAUGGUCGUCCAUUUAAGAACAAAGAUGUAAAAGAACUCUUUGAGAAAUUUCAUAUUCAACAUCGCUUUUCAACUCCUUAUUAUCCAUAGAGUAAUGGCCAAGAUGAGACAUCCAUUAAAAUAAUCAUCAAAAUACUAAAAAAGGUUGUCAAUCAUGUUGGCCGAGAUUGUCAUGUGCAGUUAAAUCUAGCUUUAUGGGCCUAUUACACUUUUAUCCGCACCCUUAAUGACACAACACCUUAUUCCUUGGUGUAUGGUGUGGAGGCUAUUUUACCUUUGGAGGUUGAGAUUCCAUCAUUAAGAAUGUAUUUGCAUCAUUUGAUUGAUGAUGAAACAUAGAGUGUCUAGGCUACAUCAGCUUGAAAUGUUAGAUGAAAGGCAUUAGACAACUUUGACUCAUCUUUAGGCAUAUCAAACUACCUCCGUCGCACCUACAACAAGAAGGUCAAAGGGAAUCAUUUUGAUGUUGGAGAUUUGGUCCUAAAGGCAAAUGCCAAGGAUUCAUAAUCUAUCUGAAAGAUUAUCAAAGGGAAAUUUUAGACCAAUUAGGUAGGGCCUUUUAUCGUCACUACAGCAUAUGGCUCGGGGGUAUAUUAGCUAGCAACCUCGAAGGGAGAACGAUUAUCAAAUCUUGUCAACAAUAUGCAUCUCCAGAAGUAUUAUACAUAAGUCUUUUUUUUACAGUUCUUCAAUAUGAUCCUGAAAAUAUAUUAAAAAUUUGAAAAAUACAAAAAAAUUUGAAAAAAAAAAUAAAAAUAUAAAAAAAAAUUGAUGACAAAAAAGUAAAGAAAAAUCAUUCACCCUCUAGUGAAAACCUGACAAACAGGCACUUUGGGCAAGUAACGUGGUGAAAAGUUGACAAACAAGUGCCAUGUGUAUCAAUGGUUGUUGCUCUACUAUCUAUCUUGAUUCUAUUUUUACAUAGCACAAAGCUUUAUCAUGCCUAUCCAUUCUGAUUUGACCCUUUGUCUUUAUCGAGGUCUAUGGUUGGUUAGCAUCGAAUGUCAUUUUCCAGCUAGUUGCCAAUCUAUAUAUAUGUUUUUUUCCUAGUCGUUGUACAUACUUGGACCUAUAAUUGAGGGAAAAUCCCUUCUCAUGAUCA
Molecule: long non-coding RNA, 2271 nt
Organism: Cryptomeria japonica (Japanese cedar)
Lineage: Eukaryota; Viridiplantae; Streptophyta; Pinopsida; Cupressales; Cupressaceae
Exons: 3
Source: RefSeq, a predicted model, not a curated record